This is a long non-coding RNA of Harpia harpyja (harpy eagle), 1875 nucleotides long. RefSeq lists it as uncharacterized. The record is from RefSeq and is a predicted model, not a curated record. The transcript has 2 exons. Lineage: Eukaryota; Metazoa; Chordata; Aves; Accipitriformes; Accipitridae.
GAUGGCCGCCGCGGCGCUGAAGGCCCUCACCGCUCCCCCGCGGAGCCGCCCGGCCGCUGCGGGCCGGAGCCGCCCCCAUCGGUCCCCACGGCUACCGCAGCGGCCCCACGCCCUGCCCUGCCCUACCCGCGCUAAGUACCGAGCGCCGCCUGACGCCGCCGAGCCGUGAGUGCCAGCCUCCGGCGGGCCUGCGCGCCCGGCCCCGCCGCUGCCCGCCAGGGCCAACCCCCUGCGGCGGUCCUCGCUGCCCUGCCUGGGCGAGGGGAGGCCCCGCCGCCCCGCCGGCAGGUGGGACGCGCCGCCGGACCUCGGCGUUACUUGGGGUGCAGUUGGCGGGCCCUGGCCUCUCGGAGCUGGGAGCCGGGCUGCGGGCUGCUGCUCCGUCGCCACAGCUACGGGUGCUUGGCGUUGUGGGGAGGAGGAACGUGCUCGUUACGCCGACCUGGCGUGUGACGGGAGAGUGGUGCAGGGCGAUGCUCUCACCCUUCGAGUCAUACCUGUGAUUUCCUAAGGUUCCGGGAAAGCUUUGCUUUUGGCCAAGGCAACAGACAUGGACUGAAUAUGAGGAAGUCCUGCUGGCAGCUCCAUUGGCACAAGGGCUGAAAUACCAGCACUGCAAGGAGUGGCAACAGUUACUGACAGCUGCUCAGGGACCUGAGCUGAGGUCUGCAUCUUGGUACAUGUGAUCUGUUCAAAAGCAUGGAUGCAUGGACAGCAUGGCAGCAAGGCUGUACUGCAGAGGAAGUGUGCUUCAUGAUUUUGGCUAAAUUUCAUUACAAUAUGUCCUUUUUAAUGGCAGGCUUGAUAGAAGCCCAUACUUAAGGACAGUCAGUUUCUCUUACUUGUAGAGAUGAUCAUGGAUCAUUUGGCAAAUAUACAUUAACGAAGCGUGCUGCAAAAGACUUCUUGCUUCUUUCUGCAUUUUGUUCUGGUUUUGGUAGGAGUGGGAUUUCAUUGUCCAGUGACAACAACAGGCAUUUUUACAAACAAAACCAAAUGAACAAAACAAGAGCUGUAGAAAUGGAAACAUACUGGAUCAGGUAGGACGAACAGCCAGCCUUUAUCACCACUGGUAGUACAUCUUGAUUUCAUUACGAAGGUACGCUGCUGUAACUAACAGCAUAAUACUUACAGUGUUGAAGUAGGAAUGUUAAGUGGAAUUUGUUUUCUUUAAGUAGCCUAGCUACUCCUGAUCGUUCAUAGCUAUGAAGUAUCUUGCCACAUUAAAACAUUUGUUGACUUUUAGGAAGCAAUAAAUAACGGAGUCAAUGACAGAACUCCAAAAUGAACUCUCCCUUAGUUGUGUUUACUUUUUAAGAUUAAAAGGUGUGGAAAUUCAAUCAAGGAAAAGUACUUUAACCUGGUUAAGAAUGAAUCAUUUUGGUCUUCAGUUGCUUGGGCUGAAGAUAACUAAAGAACUAUAUUACUUGCCAAAAAGGCAAAAUACCUAAAAAAGGUAAUUCUGCUCUUAAGCAGAUUGGGAAGAACUAUUGCAAGGGAUUGUGAUGCUACUGGCCACCAUAGAACUUGCUCUUGUCUAACCAGGUUUCCUUUAACUAAUGUAAAAGAUUUUGCAAUGUUGAAGAAGUUAUUUAAAGCAAACAGGAAGAAAUCUACCUUUUUUUUCUUUUUUUCUUGUGACUGACUACCGCUUGUGACUGGAGCUAUUAUUUUAUGGGAUUUGGGGCUGAACAGCCAGAAAGCAGAUUUUUUAAACAUCAAGAUAGCAACUUAAGGCCCUGCAGUGUAAACAGGAGCACAGUUUAAACUAUUCAAUGUUUGUAACACUAGUAUCUUCUAAUAAAUUCUCCCCCUGCAGAAGCAGAAUGAUUAUCAGACCAGUGACCAAGAAGAUACUUGAUACAAAGCUGACAA